GAUGAACGCUGGCGGCGUGCUUAACACAUGCAAGUCGAGCGGAAAGGCCAUGAUUUUGCGGGGUGCAUGAGUGGCGAACGGGUGAGUAACACGCGAGUAACCUGCCCUUGUAAUUGGGAUAAAAUCAGGAAACUGGGGCUAAUACCGGAGAGGAGAUCCUGCUGCACGGUGGGGGUAGGAAAGUUACGGCGGUUGGGGCUGGUCUAGCGGGUUAUCAGCUAGUUGGGGGGGUAGGGGCUUACAAGGUCUUCGACGGGUAGCCGGCCUGGGAGGUUGGCCGGCCACAUUGCUCCUGCGGUACGGCCCAGUCGCCAACGGGAGGCAGCAGUGGGGAGUAUUGCACAAUGGGCGGAAGCCUGAUGCAGCAGCCCCGCGUUCGUGAUGACGGCCUUCUGGUUGUAAACCGCUUUCUCCUGUGACGAAGCGUGAGUGACGGUAAUGGGUAAGAAAGCACCGGCUAACUACGUG
RNAcentral lists this ribosomal RNA (468 nucleotides) under uncultured bacterium. Its description in RNAcentral is "partial 16S ribosomal RNA". It matches the Rfam family "Bacterial small subunit ribosomal RNA", at positions 28 to 507 of the family's 1533-position model. The record is from RNAcentral.